AUGUAUAGUUAAUCUGCCCUAUGCUGGAGGACAACAGUUAGAAAUGACUGCUAAUACUCCAUACUCCUUCUUAACACAAGUUGAGUUGGGAAAGUUUUUUCGGCAUAGGAUGAGACUAUAUUGUAUCAGCUAGUUGGUGAGGUAAUGGCUUACCAAGGCUAUGACGCAUAACUGGUCUGAGAGGAUGAUCAGUCACACUGGAACUGAGACACGGUCCAGACUCCUACGGGAGGCAGCAGUAGGGAAUAUUGCUCAAUGGGCGAAAGCCUGAAGCAGCAACGCCGCGUGGAGGAUGACACUUUUCGGAGCGUAAACUCCUUUUCUUAGGGAAGAAAUUUGACGGUACCUAAGGAAUAAGCACCGGCUAACUCCGUGCCAGCAGCCGCGGUAAUACGGAGGGUGCAAGCGUUACUCGGAAUCACUGGGCGUAAAGGACGCGUAGGCGGAUUAUCAAGUCUUUUGUGAAAUCUAAUGGCUUAACCAUUAAACUGCUUGAGAAACUGAUAAUCUAGAGUGAGGGAGAGGCAGAUGGAAUUGGUGGUGUAGGGGUAAAAUCCGUAGAGAUCACCAGGAAUACCCAUUGCGAAGGCGAUCUGCUAGAACUCAACUGACGCUAAUGCGUGAAAGCGUGGGGAGCAAACAGGAUUAGAUACCCUGGUAGUCCACGCCCUAAACGAUGUAUACUAGUUGUUGCUAUGCUAGUCAUGGCAGUAAUGCACCUAACGGAUUAAGUAUACCGCCUGGGGAGUACGGUCGCAAGAUUAAAACUCAAAGGAAUAGACGGGGACCCGCACAAGCGGUGGAGCAUGUGGUUUAAUUCGAAGAUACGCGAAGAACCUUACCUGGGCUUGAUAUCCUAAGAACCUCUUAGAGAUAAGAGGGUGCUAGCUUGCUAGAACUUAGAGACAGGUGCUGCACGGCUGUCGUCAGCUCGUGUCGUGAGAUGUUCGGUUAAGUCCGGCAACGAGCGCAACCCACGUAUUUAGUUGCUAACAGUUUGGCUGAGCACUCUAAAUAUACUGCCUUCGUAAGGAGGAGGAAGGUGUGGACGACGUCAAGUCAUCAUGGCC
Molecule: ribosomal RNA, 1070 nt
Filed under: Campylobacter lanienae
Lineage: Bacteria; Pseudomonadati; Campylobacterota; Epsilonproteobacteria; Campylobacterales; Campylobacteraceae
Description: bacterial SSU rRNA
Rfam family: Bacterial small subunit ribosomal RNA
Source: RNAcentral